Molecule: ribosomal RNA, 210 nt
Filed under: Acinetobacter radioresistens
Lineage: Bacteria; Pseudomonadati; Pseudomonadota; Gammaproteobacteria; Moraxellales; Moraxellaceae
Description: partial 16S ribosomal RNA
Rfam family: Bacterial small subunit ribosomal RNA
Source: RNAcentral
UAGCUUGCUACUGGAUUCAGCGGCGGACGGGUGAGUAAUGCUUAGGAAUCUGCCUAUUAGUGGGGGACAACGUUCCGAAAGGGGCGCUAAUACCGCAUACGUCCUACGGGAGAAAGCAGGGGACCUUCGGGCCUUGCGCUAAUAGAUGAGCCUAAGUCGGAUUAGCUAGUUGGUAGGGUAAAGGCCUACCAAGGCGACGAUCUGUAGCGG